RNAcentral lists this transfer RNA (74 nucleotides) under Pleurotus cornucopiae (cornucopia mushroom). RNAcentral describes it as "tRNA-Met". It matches the Rfam family "tRNA". Rfam says of the family: Transfer RNA (tRNA) molecules are approximately 80 nucleotides in length. Their secondary structure includes four short double-helical elements and three loops (D, anti-codon, and T loops). The record is from RNAcentral. RNAcentral also lists the same sequence under 2 other names. Lineage: Eukaryota; Fungi; Basidiomycota; Agaricomycetes; Agaricales; Pleurotaceae.
AGCGAAAUAGUGUAAUGGUUUAGCACAACAGUCUCAUGAUCUGUUAGAUUGGGUUCGAUUCCUAAUUUCGUCAU